GGGUUAAGUCCCGCAACGAGCGCAACCCCUCGCAUCCAGUUGCCAUCGGGCGAGCCGGGCACUCUGGAGGGACUGCCGGCGACAAGCCGGAGGAAGGUGGGGGAUGACGUCAAGUCAUCAUGGCCCUUAUGUCCAGGGCGACACACGUGCUACAAUGGCCGGCACAGCGGGAAGCGGAGGGGCGACCCUGAGCGGAUCCCUUGAAAGCCGGUCCCAGUUCGGAUUGCAGUCUGCAACUCGACUGCAUGAAGUUGGAAUCGCUAGUAAUCGCGGAUCAGCCAAGCCGCGGUGAAUACGUUCCCGGGCCUU
Molecule: ribosomal RNA, 309 nt
Filed under: uncultured Thermovirga sp.
Lineage: Bacteria; Thermotogati; Synergistota; Synergistia; Synergistales; Thermovirgaceae
Description: bacterial SSU rRNA
Rfam family: Bacterial small subunit ribosomal RNA
Source: RNAcentral